CCGGAAGGAGUGUAGCGGCUGCCUCAGCGGCGGCGACGGAGCCCGCAGCUGCGGCUUCUGAAGAACCUUUUGAAACAGAUGGUCACCAUGUUUAGAUAUUAGCAGUCCCGUAUGUGCAUGUCUGCGUUUGAAAAUGGCAGAGGGAAACAGCAAUGAAGAGGUGAUUCACUUGAACAACUUUCACUGCCAUCGGGGACAAGAGUGGAUCAAUCUCAGAGAUGGGCCCAUCACCAUAUCUGACUCCUCAGAUGAGGAAGGGAUUCCAAUGCUGGUCACCCCAGCUCCUCAGCAGCAUGAAGAAGAGGACCUGGAUGAUGAUGUCAUCCUGACAGAAGUGAGUUUUCUUUAAACUUACAUUGAGA
Long non-coding RNA from Rhinopithecus roxellana (golden snub-nosed monkey), 362 nucleotides. RefSeq lists it as uncharacterized. Lineage: Eukaryota; Metazoa; Chordata; Mammalia; Primates; Cercopithecidae. The transcript is spliced from 3 exons. The record is from RefSeq and is a predicted model, not a curated record.